RNAcentral lists this ribosomal RNA (497 nucleotides) under uncultured bacterium. Its description in RNAcentral is "partial 16S ribosomal RNA". It matches the Rfam family "Bacterial small subunit ribosomal RNA", at positions 28 to 507 of the family's 1533-position model. The record is from RNAcentral.
GAUGAACGCUGGCGGCGUGCCUAAUACAUGCAAGUCGAGCGAACAGAUAAGGAGCUUGCUCCUUUGACGUUAGCGGCGGACGGGUGAGUAACACGUGGGUAACCUACCUAUAAGACUGGGAUAACUUCGGGAAACCGGAGCUAAUACCGGAUAAUAUUUCGAACCGCAUGGUUCGAUAGUGAAAGAUGGUUUUGCUAUCACCUAUAGAUGGACCCGCGCCGUAUUAGCUAGUUGGUAAGGUAACGGCUUACCAAGGCGACGAUACGUAGCCGACCUGAGAGGGUGAUCGGCCACACUGGAACUGAGACACGGUCCAGACUCCUACGGGAGGCAGCAGUAGGGAAUCUUCCGCAGUGGGCGAAAGCCUGACGGAGCAACGCCGCGUGAGUGAUGAAGGUCUUCGGAUCGUAAAACUCUGUUAUUAGGGAAGAACAUACGUGUAAGUAACUGUGCACGUCUUGACGGUACCUAAUCAGAAAGCCACGGCUAACUACGUG